Molecule: ribosomal RNA, 317 nt
Filed under: Paenibacillus sp. GSMTC-2017
Lineage: Bacteria; Bacillati; Bacillota; Bacilli; Caryophanales; Paenibacillaceae
Description: Bacterial large subunit ribosomal RNA
Rfam family: Bacterial large subunit ribosomal RNA
Source: Rfam by way of RNAcentral
GGUUAAGCUAGUAAGAGCGCACGGAGGAUGCCUAGGCACUAGGAGCCGAAGAAGGACGUGGCGAACAACGAUACCGCCUCGGGGAGCCGUAAGCAGGCUUUGAUCCGGGGAUUUCCGAAUGGGGAAACCCAGCAGUCGUAAUGGACUGUUACUAACAACUGAAUACAUAGGUUGUUAAGAGGCAUACCGGGGGAACUGAAACAUCUAAGUACCCCGAGGAAGAGAAAACAAAAGUGAUUCCGUCAGUAGCGGCGAGCGAACGCGGAUUAGCCCAAACCAAGGAGCUUGCUCCUUGGGGUUGUAGGACGUUUCACAUG